UGAGCAACCUGCCCUUGACUCUGGAAUAAACAGCUGGAAACAGCUGCUAAUACCGGAUAUGACCUCUUCCGACAUCGGGCGAAGUGGAAAGCUCCGGCGGUCAAGGAUGGGCUCGCGGCCUAUCAGCUAGUUGGUGAGGUAACGGCUCACCAAGGCGACGACGGGUAGCCGGCCUGAGAGGGUGACCGGCCAUACUGGGACUGAGGCACGGCCCAGACUCCGUACGGGAGCA
This 232-nucleotide ribosomal RNA is filed under the name uncultured bacterium. Its description in RNAcentral is "partial 16S ribosomal RNA". It matches the Rfam family "Bacterial small subunit ribosomal RNA", at positions 118 to 347 of the family's 1533-position model. The record is from RNAcentral.